RNAcentral lists this ribosomal RNA (1790 nucleotides) under Prolemur simus (greater bamboo lemur). RNAcentral describes it as "SSU rRNA". It matches the Rfam family "Eukaryotic small subunit ribosomal RNA". Lineage: Eukaryota; Metazoa; Chordata; Mammalia; Primates; Lemuridae. The record is from RNAcentral.
CCAUGUUGAUCCUGCCAGUAGCAUAUGCCUGUCUCAAAGAUUAAGCCAUGCAUGUCUAAGUACACAGGGCUGGUACAGUGAAACUGCGAAUGGCUCCUUAAAUCAAUUAUCAUUCCUUUGGUCACUCGCUCCUCUCCUACUUGGAUAACUGUGGAAAAUCUAGAGCUAAUACAUGCCGACGGGUGCCAACCCCCUUCGCAGGGGGGAUGUGUGCAUUUAUCAGAUCAAAACCAACAUGGUGAGCUUCUUCCCAGCCACGGCCGUGGGGCUGCACAGGCGGCUUUGGUGACUCUAGAUAAUCUCAUGCUGAUUGCAUGCCCUCUGUGGCAGCAAUGACCCAUUUGAACGUCUGCCCUAUCAACUUUCAAUGGUAGUUGCUGUGCCUACCUUGGUGACCACAGAUGAUGCAGAAUCAGGGUUCAAUUCUGGAGAGGGAGCCUGAGAAAUGGCUACCACAUCCAAAGAAGGCAGCAGCUGCACAAAUUACCCACUCAUGACUCAGGGAGGUAGUGAUGAAAAAUAACAAUACAGGACUCUUUCGAGGCCCUGCAAUUAGAAUGAGUCCACUUUAAAUCCUUUAAUGAUGAUCCAUUGGUGGGCAAGCCUGGUGCCAGCAGCCAUGGUAAUUCAAGCUGUAAUAGUGUAUAUUAAAGUUGCUGCAAUUAAAAACCUCAUAGUUGCACCUUGGGAGGGGAUGGGUGGUCUGCUGCAAGGUGAGCCACCACCCGUCCCUGCCCCUUGCCUCUCGUUGCCCCCUUGAUGCUCUUAGCUGAGUGUCCUGUGGGGCCCAAAGUGUUUGCUUUGAAAAAAUUAGUGUUCGAAGCAGGUCUGAGCCUCCUGGAUACUGCAGCUAGGAAUAAUGGAAUAGGACUGUGGUUUUUGUAACUGAGGCCAUGAUUAAGAGGGAUGGCUGGGGUCAUUCGUAUUGUGCUGCUAGAGGUGAAAUUCUUGGACUGGCACAAGACGGAGCAGAGCUAAAGCAUUUGCCAAGAAGGUUUUCAUUAAUUAAGAAUGAAAGUCAGUGGUUUGAAUAUGAUCUUGUACCGUCGUAGUUCCGACCAUGAACGAUGCCAACUGGUGAUGUGGUGGCGUUAUUCCCAUGACCUGCCGGGCAGCUUCUGGAAAACAAAAGUCUUUGAGUUCCAGGGAGAGUAUGGUUGCAAAGCUGAAACUUAAAGGAAUUUGAUGGAAGGGCACCACCAGGAGUGGAGCCUGCAGCUUAAUAUGACUCAACAUGGGAAACCUCACCUGGCCCUGACAUGGACAGGGUUGACAGAUGGAUAGCUCUUUCUCAAUUCCAUGGGUGGUGGUGCAUGGCUAUUGUUAGUUGGUGGAGUGAUUUGUCUGGUUAAUCCCGAUAAUGAAUGAGACUCUGGCAUGCUAACUAGUUACGUGACCCCUGAGUGGUCAGCAUCCACAACUUCUUAGAGGGACAAAUGGUGUUCUGCCAUCCGUGAUUGAGCAAUAAAAGGUUUGUGAUGCCUUUAGAAGUCUGGGGCUGCACGCACAGUACACUGACUGGCUGGUGCGGGUAACCUGUUAUACCCCAUUUGUGAUGGGGAAUAAGGAAUCCGAUUAUUCCCCAUGAACAAGGAAUUCCCAGUAAGUGCGGGUCAUAAGCUUGUGUUAAGUCUCUGCCAUUUAUACACACCACCUUUCACUACUAUUGAUUGUAUGGUUUAGUGAGGCCCUUGGAUUGGCCCCGGUGGAGUGCUGAGAAGACAGUCGAACUUGACUGUCUAGACGAAGUAAAAGUCAUAACAGUGUUUCUGUAGGUGAACCUGUGGAAG